GACGAACGCUGGCGGCGUGCUUAACACAUGCAAGUCGAACGGAAAGGCCCUGCUUUUGUGGGGUGCUCGAGUGGCGAACGGGUGAGUAACACGUGAGUAACCUGCCCUUGACUUUGGGAUAACUUCAGGAAACUGGGGCUAAUACCGGAUAGGAGCUCCUGCUGCAUGGUGGGGGUUGGAAAGUUUCGGCGGUUGGGGAUGGACUCGCGGCUUAUCAGCUUGUUGGUGGGGUAGUGGCUUACCAAGGCUUUGACGGGUAGCCGGCCUGAGAGGGUGACCGGCCACAAUGGGACUGAGAUACGGCCCAGACUCCUACGAGAGUCAGCAGUGGGGAAUAUUGCACAAUGGGCGGAAGCCUGAUGCAGCAACGCCGCGUGCGGGAUGACGGCCUUCGGGUUGUAAACCGCUUUCGCCUGUGACGAAGCGUGAGUGACGGUAAUGGGUAAAGAAGCACCGGCUAACUACGUG
RNAcentral lists this ribosomal RNA (468 nucleotides) under uncultured bacterium. Its description in RNAcentral is "partial 16S ribosomal RNA". It matches the Rfam family "Bacterial small subunit ribosomal RNA", at positions 28 to 507 of the family's 1533-position model. The record is from RNAcentral.